GUCCUUUGAUAAUAAUUUAGGUCUGUCCUGCUCACUGAAUAUGUUUAAGAGCCGCGGUAUUUUGACUGUGCAAAGGUAGCAUAAUCAUUAGUCUCUUAAUUAGAGGCUGGAAUGAAUGGUUUGACGAAGAAUUUACUGUCUCAUUUUAAAUUUAUAGAAUUUAACUUUUGAGUUAAAAGGCUUAAAUUUGUUUUAAGGACGAGAAGACCCUAUAGAGCUUGAUAUUUUAUUUUUAUUUAUUUUUUUGUUGGUUUUUAUAUGUUUGAUGAUAAUAUUUUGUUGGGGUGACAUGAGGAAUAACUAAACUCUUCAUUAUUAAAUCAUUAUUUUAUGUUUAUUUGAUCCAUAAUUUAUGAUCAAAAGAUAAAGUUACCUUAGGGAUAACAGCGUAAUUAUUUUUGAGAGUUCAUAUUGACAAAAUAGAUUGCGACCUCGAUGUUGGAUUAAGAAAAAUUUUAAGUGCAGUAGCUUAAUAAUUAGGUCUGUUCGACCUUUAAAUUCUU
RNAcentral lists this ribosomal RNA (503 nucleotides) under Karruia sp. PKF-2004. Its description in RNAcentral is "partial 16S ribosomal RNA". It matches the Rfam family "Bacterial large subunit ribosomal RNA", at positions 1830 to 2597 of the family's 2925-position model. The record is from RNAcentral. Lineage: Eukaryota; Metazoa; Arthropoda; Insecta; Orthoptera; Lentulidae.